This 2923-nucleotide ribosomal RNA is filed under the name Klebsiella pneumoniae. Its description in RNAcentral is "bacterial LSU rRNA". It matches the Rfam family "Bacterial large subunit ribosomal RNA". Lineage: Bacteria; Pseudomonadati; Pseudomonadota; Gammaproteobacteria; Enterobacterales; Enterobacteriaceae. The record is from RNAcentral.
GGGUUGUGAGGUUAAGCGACUAAGCGUACACGGUGGAUGCCCUGGCAGUCAGAGGCGAUGAAGGACGUGCUAAUCUGCGAAAAGCGUCGGUAAGGUGAUAUGAACCGUUAUAACCGGCGAUGUCCGAAUGGGGAAACCCAGUGUGAUUCGUCACACUAUCGUUAACUGAAUACAUAGGUUAACGAGGCGAACCGGGGGAACUGAAACAUCUAAGUACCCCGAGGAAAAGAAAUCAACCGAGAUUCCCCCAGUAGCGGCGAGCGAACGGGGAGCAGCCCAGAGUCUGAAUCAGCUUGUGUGUUAGUGGAACGGUCUGGAAAGUCCGACGGUACAGGGUGAUAGUCCCGUACACCAAAAUGCACAGGUUGUGAACUCGAAGAGUAGGGCGGGACACGUGGUAUCCUGUCUGAAUAUGGGGGGACCAUCCUCCAAGGCUAAAUACUCCUGAGUGACCGAUAGUGAACCAGUACCGUGAGGGAAAGGCGAAAAGAACCCCGGCGAGGGGAGUGAAAAAGAACCUGAAACCGUGUACGUACAAGCAGUGGGAGCACCUUCGGGUGUGACUGCGUACCUUUUGUAUAAUGGGUCAGCGACUUAUAUUCUGUAGCAAGGUUAACCGUAUAGGGGAGCCGCAGGGAAACCGAGUCUUAACUGGGCGUUAAGUUGCAGGGUAUAGACCCGAAACCCGGUGAUCUAGCCAUGGGCAGGUUGAAGGUUGGGUAACACUAACUGGAGGACCGAACCGACUAAUGUUGAAAAAUUAGCGGAUGACUUGUGGCUGGGGGUGAAAGGCCAAUCAAACCGGGAGAUAGCUGGUUCUCCCCGAAAGCUAUUUAGGUAGCGCCUCGUGAACUCAUCUUCGGGGGUAGAGCACUGUUUCGGCUAGGGGGUCAUCCCGACUUACCAACCCGAUGCAAACUACGAAUACCGAAGAAUGUUAUCACGGGAGACACACGGCGGGUGCUAACGUCCGUCGUGAAGAGGGAAACAACCCAGACCGCCAGCUAAGGUCCCAAAGUCAUGGUUAAGUGGGAAACGAUGUGGGAAGGCACAGACAGCCAGGAUGUUGGCUUAGAAGCAGCCAUCAUUUAAAGAAAGCGUAAUAGCUCACUGGUCGAGUCGGCCUGCGCGGAAGAUGUAACGGGGCUAAACCAUGCACCGAAGCUGCGGCAGCGACACUAUGUGUUGUUGGGUAGGGGAGCGUUCUGUAAGCCUGCGAAGGUGACCUGUGAGGGUUGCUGGAGGUAUCAGAAGUGCGAAUGCUGACAUAAGUAACGAUAAAGCGGGUGAAAAGCCCGCUCGCCGGAAGACCAAGGGUUCCUGUCCAACGUUAAUCGGGGCAGGGUGAGUCGACCCCUAAGGCGAGGCCGAAAGGCGUAGUCGAUGGGAAACAGGUUAAUAUUCCUGUACUUGGUGUUACUGCGAAGGGGGGACGGAGAAGGCUAUGUUAGCCGGGCGACGGUUGUCCCGGUUUAAGCAUGUAGGCUGAUUGUCCAGGCAAAUCCGGAUAAUCAAGGCUGAGGUGUGAUGACGAGGCACUACGGUGCUGAAGUAACAAAUGCCCUGCUUCCAGGAAAAGCCUCUAAGCAUCAGGUAACAUUAAAUCGUACCCCAAACCGACACAGGUGGUCAGGUAGAGAAUACCAAGGCGCUUGAGAGAACUCGGGUGAAGGAACUAGGCAAAAUGGUGCCGUAACUUCGGGAGAAGGCACGCUGGUGUGUAGGUGAAGUCCCUGCGGAUGGAGCUGAGACCAGUCGAAGAUACCAGCUGGCUGCAACUGUUUAUUAAAAACACAGCACUGUGCAAACACGAAAGUGGACGUAUACGGUGUGACGCCUGCCCGGUGCCGGAAGGUUAAUUGAUGGGGUUAUCCGUAAGGAGAAGCUCUUGAUCGAAGCCCCGGUAAACGGCGGCCGUAACUAUAACGGUCCUAAGGUAGCGAAAUUCCUUGUCGGGUAAGUUCCGACCUGCACGAAUGGCGUAAUGAUGGCCAGGCUGUCUCCACCCGAGACUCAGUGAAAUUGAACUCGCUGUGAAGAUGCAGUGUACCCGCGGCAAGACGGAAAGACCCCGUGAACCUUUACUAUAGCUUGACACUGAACAUUGAGCCUUGAUGUGUAGGAUAGGUGGGAGGCUUUGAAGCGUGGACGCCAGUCUGCGUGGAGCCAACCUUGAAAUACCACCCUUUAAUGUUUGAUGUUCUAACGUUGGCCCCUUACCGGGGUUGCGGACAGUGUCUGGUGGGUAGUUUGACUGGGGCGGUCUCCUCCCAAAGCGUAACGGAGGAGCACGAAGGUUAGCUAAUCCUGGUCGGACAUCAGGAGGUUAGUGCAAUGGCAUAAGCUAGCUUGACUGCGAGCGUGACGGCGCGAGCAGGUGCGAAAGCAGGUCAUAGUGAUCCGGUGGUUCUGAAUGGAAGGGCCAUCGCUCAACGGAUAAAAGGUACUCCGGGGAUAACAGGCUGAUACCGCCCAAGAGUUCAUAUCGACGGCGGUGUUUGGCACCUCGAUGUCGGCUCAUCACAUCCUGGGGCUGAAGUAGGUCCCAAGGGUAUGGCUGUUCGCCAUUUAAAGUGGUACGCGAGCUGGGUUUAGAACGUCGUGAGACAGUUCGGUCCCUAUCUGCCGUGGGCGCUGGAGAAUUGAGGGGGGCUGCUCCUAGUACGAGAGGACCGGAGUGGACGCAUCACUGGUGUUCGGGUUGUCAUGCCAAUGGCACUGCCCGGUAGCUAAAUGCGGAAGAGAUAAGUGCUGAAAGCAUCUAAGCACGAAACUUGCCCCGAGAUGAGUUCUCCCUGAGACUUUAAGUCUCCUGAAGGAACGUUAAAGACGAUGACGUUGAUAGGCCGGGUGUGUAAGCGCAGCGAUGCGUUGAGCUAACCGGUACUAAUGAACCGUGAGGCUUAACCUUACAACGCCGAAG